AUGUAUGGGCCAAAAUGUAUAUAUUAUAUUGACCGGAUUUUCUUCAAGUGUAUAUUGAUUGAUGGAAUUGUGAAGACCAAUAAAAGUUCAAAUAUAUACAUGAGUAGCAAAACAAAUCUUCGCUGUCUCGAGAAAAUGAGCACAAAAGAGAAUUGGUUAUCCAACAUAAUGGGUAUUAUUAGAGGAGUAAAAGAGGGAACAAAUAGUCUUGAAAAGCUAUGGGUCGUAGCUUACAUGCAUGAAAUAGACCUACUAAAACCAACAACUCCGCAGACUUAUAUAAUCCUUGUGAAUUUAUAA
RNAcentral lists this ribosomal RNA (300 nucleotides) under Triticum aestivum (bread wheat). Its description in RNAcentral is "partial small subunit ribosomal RNA". The record is from RNAcentral. Lineage: Eukaryota; Viridiplantae; Streptophyta; Magnoliopsida; Poales; Poaceae.